CUGUGAGGCCGUUGCAGGAAGCCCCCUUCACUGUGGGAGGAUCCACAGCUGCCGCAGCACAGUCCCACCUCCAGGAAUCUCAUAGGAUCCCUUGAGGAAAAGCCUAAAGCUGCCGCCAUUAGAAAUCCCCGAAAGAGCAUGGCAUUGUCAGGAUUCUGGGGGUGAAAUGGUUGUCACGAACCACCCAAGAGGAGAACUGGCCUCUGCUUGGUUUAUUCAUUCCCUCCGUUCGCUUUGAUUUUAAACUUCUUUUGGAGAGAUAUUUAUUGGGUUUCUUUUGUGAGAAAAGUUUGUUCCCGCUAAAAGAAGAGAAUAUUUUCAAUGCUACAAACUCCAAAGCAUAAGGACUUUGGGUGAACUUUCUGUUGAAGUACAGCAUUUAGACAGCAAAGCCCGCAAAUCUUAGCUUUUAGCCCAGUGGAGUUGGACAGUUUAUUAACACCUUCAAGCAACAACCACUCAGUCAAGACAGAAUGCUGGCUGCACAUUCGUUACCACAGAUUCAUCUUGCCUCGUUUUAUGAACUCCAUGCAAAUAAAAUCAGACAGGGAUCCUGCUCUGGAACAAGAGUCUCUCCUGCACCCACCCAGUCUGAGCACCAGCCAAGAUCUUUCCCUUCUUAUUCUCACCUUCCUACAGUUUGCAGAGAUGAACAUGGAUGAGAGGAGACUCAGGGACCUGAUGACCCCCGACGGCCGUGGGCUGCACAGUGCCAGGACUGGAUCCUGGAAGAGGAAAGGAUGCAGAUGGAAAAGCUGGGGAUACCAGGGUGAGCUCUGAGAUGUAAUCACCAGCAUUGGAUCCACGUCCACUCCCUGGUCCUGGUUGCUGUGCUGUGGCCGUGCAUAGAGUUAACACUGAGCAGCACUCAACAGAAACAACCUUUAGCUGCUGUACAUGUAUUUUCUGGCAAGACUCUGACUGUCCAUGAAGCCGGGGUCCACGGAGGCCACCUUGGCUGCUAUGAAGGAGUGGAUGCAGUGCAGGACAGCCCUCAGGUCCUGGAACUCGAGUUCCUGGAGGAGAAAAUCAGAUCAAGUGUUUAUUAUAAUUGUUGGAAGAACACGUUACAAAAAUAUUUAACAAAGUUUGGACCUUGUGAACUCCAAGAAAGUCCCUCCAAAAAAAUAAUAAUAGACAGGAAAUAUGUAUGGUUUAAAGUAAAAGGCAGAGUAACAUGAUCCAAAUCAUGAUCCAAAUUGGUUAUAAACAUGAAUAUACUGGGUAUUUUUUAUUACAACGCUGAGAAUGUAACUUACUUGUUUUCUUGCACCUAACGGGGGCUAAUGCUCACUUCCUUUAUUUUGCAUCUUCAGUGAUGGGUCUUGAUUAAGUCAGACCCCGUAAUCUGGGCCAGGACUCAGUCUUCCCCACCUGCCCAGCACCUGUGGUGAUUUUGUGAUGUGGAUCCCGUCGCAGCAGACCCCUGUGCUGUGUGAGUUGGCAGAACUAGCCAUUGUGUCUCAGGCCGCCGUGCCUUUUGUAUGGGUGCGUGUGGGCUUCAUGCCAAGGCCGCCCUUGGGAGGAACAGUGCCUGCUGUGUGGGUGCAUGUGGGCUUCAUGCCAAGGCCACGCUUGGGAGGAACAGCGCCUGCUGUGUGGGUGCGUGUGGGCUUCAUGCCAAGGCCACGCUUGGGAGGAACAGCGCCUGCUGUGUGGCGCAGAAUAGGCAGUGUGCACAGCACGGCGGGAAGCGAGGAGGGGCCUUGUUCACCCACCCUGUCCCCAUGGCUACGGGAGAGCAGGAAAGGGUGCCCCAGGGAGAGUUUCCUAGAGAGACGGUUAUACCCCUACCCCCUCCCAAUAAAAAAACUGAAACAAACUCCUGGAUCCUUACCUCCGCAUGUUACAGACACUAAAUGUCCUGUAAAAGCAAAAAUGACCCACAAAAGGUUCAUCUUCUCUCCACAAACUGCCCCACAUAAAGUCCCUGUGUCAAAUCAACAGAAAAGUCCACAGUGAACCCCAAAGCUGACACAGAAGUUAAAGAAACUGUUUUUAGAAGUUAUUCAGUUACUGGGGAAAAAUCAUCUUCCUGUUUUUGAUGGUAAAAUACGAAUCUUGCCGUCCUGCCACCCCCAUUCUAUUGGUAGAAAAGAAGGUCUAAGUGCAUUCUUCUAAUGUU
Molecule: long non-coding RNA, 2125 nt
Organism: Homo sapiens (human)
Lineage: Eukaryota; Metazoa; Chordata; Mammalia; Primates; Hominidae
Source: Ensembl